RNAcentral lists this long non-coding RNA (573 nucleotides) under Gossypium raimondii (Peruvian cotton). RNAcentral describes it as "long non-coding RNA (GRAI_LNC009899)". The record is from RNAcentral. Lineage: Eukaryota; Viridiplantae; Streptophyta; Magnoliopsida; Malvales; Malvaceae.
UGCUUUUUGUUUCAAUUUAUUUCAUUUUGUUUGAUUUUGAAUUUUGGCACUCCAAUUUUCUCCUUGAUAAGAAAGACACAAGUUUAGUAGUAUCUUAUUAAAAAAUGAGCCAAAAAUAAAUAAAUUAAAAGCACAAAACUAACUUGCUAUCAACCCAUAACUUGCUCAUCUUAUCGCCCUCUUUCUCCCCACUUCCUUUUUUUUUGUUUGUUUCUCUUUGUCACAUUUUGUUCAUAUCUUUCUGCAUUUUUCCCUUUUGACUUUUCUUUCCUCUCAUAUUUUCCUCCUUUCGACCGUCUCUUUUUCUUCUCCUUGCCCCCAAUCUUUUUCUUCUUUUCCCUACUUUUUUUUACACCACAUUCCACCACCACCCGCACCAUUCUACACUACCAUUUCUUCCUUUGUGGUGCCCAUAUCUCCACAUUGUACCACCAAUUUUCUUCUUUGUCACUGUCCCCUCUCCCAUUUCGUCCUUUUUGCCCCACUACCACCCGUCACUAUCGCACCGUCGCCACGUUGCCGCCGCGCCAUUGUCGUGUCAUCGCCACCAUCAUUCUUCUUCUUGUCACCUCC